RNAcentral lists this ribosomal RNA (429 nucleotides) under uncultured bacterium. RNAcentral describes it as "bacterial SSU rRNA". It matches the Rfam family "Bacterial small subunit ribosomal RNA", at positions 355 to 775 of the family's 1533-position model. The record is from RNAcentral.
UGGGGAAUUUUGGGCAAUGGCCGAAAGGCUGACCCAGCGACGCCGCGUGUGGGAGGAAGCCCUUCGGGGUGUAAACCACUGUCGGGAGGGACGAACGAGGGAGGGGGGAAUACCCUUUUCCUGUGACGGUACCUUCAAAGGAAGCGCCGGCUAACUCUGUGCCAGCAGCCGCGGUAAGACAGAGGGCGCGAGCGUUGUUCGGAAUUACUGGGCGUAAAGCGCGCGUAGGCGGAUCGGCAAGUCCGGAGUGAAAUCCCGCCGCUCAACGGCGGGGCUGCUUUGGAAACUGCAGGUCUAGGGAGCGGUAGAGGUCGGUAGAAUUCCCGGUGUAGCGGUGGAAUGCGUAGAGAUCGGGAAGAAUACCCGUGGCGAAGGCGGCCGACUGGGCCGUCUCCGACGCUGAUGCGCGAAAGCGUGGGGAGCAAACAG